AUGGAUCUGCUUCUGUAUCCUGUCCCUCUGCUGAGUGUGUUUCUCCUCAUUCCAACAGUUUCAGCCCAAUCUGCCAUCAAUCUGACCAACCAGACAGAGGUUCCCAUGGUGACCUCACCCACAACACUGUCAUCCAACACUAUGCAUGUGGCUGGCAGCGCAACAACCCCAACUACAGCCCAGCCAAUGACUGAUGUGACAUCAUCCCCAGUACUCUCACCGCCAGGGAACAACCCUCUUGUGACAACCCUCAGUGCCCUGCAGUCAAAUCAAUCAACAGCCUCACCUGGAAAUGCCAGCUGUGACAAUAAGUCACCCACAUCCUCACCUCGACUAUCGUGUCCUAACGUCAGAAGCUCUGCUCAGGCUAAAAUACCUAGUACCCCCUCACAAGACACUGCUGCUGGACCAGUCUUAGGAUCAACGGCUGCUGCAACAGCAACCACUUCGACCUCUGUGACUUCCCCUGAAGGACCCAAAGGGACACACACAGACAUCCCUCCCACUCAGUCACCGGGCAAGAGCCUCACCAUGCUUGCCUUUGGUGUCAUGACUUUAAUCCUCAUUCUCAUCAUUAUCAUGGUGGUUUUAGUAACAGUGGUCAACCUAAAAGACAAGUGCAGCAACUCCAAGGAGGAAGGUAAAAAGAGCAGUGAUUCUGUGGUGUCUGAAAGCAAUGUCACGUUUAGUGGAGAAAAAGAGAGCAUCACUUUGAUCUCCAUGAAGACCAUUAACACAGAAACUGACACAGACUCCCCCCAGGUCUCCUCCAUUCACAGUACAACACUGGACUAUGAGGAGCAGGAGCAAAACAGGGACCUAUUGAACAACAAGGUGGGCUCAGGAAAAUACUCUUCACCAGCACUAACUGCAAUGGAUACAACCACUUCUUAUAGAGAAUAG
Oncorhynchus tshawytscha (Chinook salmon) is the source of this 903-nucleotide long non-coding RNA. The record is from Ensembl. Lineage: Eukaryota; Metazoa; Chordata; Actinopteri; Salmoniformes; Salmonidae.